This 29-nucleotide non-coding RNA is filed under the name Rattus norvegicus (Norway rat). Lineage: Eukaryota; Metazoa; Chordata; Mammalia; Rodentia; Muridae. The record is from RNAcentral.
AUCCUGCCAGCAUACUAAGUAUGGUCAGA